This 433-nucleotide ribosomal RNA is filed under the name uncultured bacterium. RNAcentral's name for it is "partial 16S ribosomal RNA". It matches the Rfam family "Bacterial small subunit ribosomal RNA", at positions 29 to 507 of the family's 1533-position model. The record is from RNAcentral.
AACGAACGCUGGCGGCAUGCCUAACACAUGCAAGUCGAACGAGACCUUCGGGUCUAGUGGCGCACGGGUGCGUAACGCGUGGGAACCUGCCCUUAGGCUCGGAAUAACUCCCCGAAAGGGGUGCUAAUACCGGAUAAUGUCUUCGGACCAAAGAUUGAUCGCCUUUGGAUGGGCCCGCGUUGGAUUAGCUAGUUGGUAGGGUAAAAGCCUACCAAGGCGUCGAUCCAUAGCUGGGCUGAGAGGAUGAGCAGCCACACUGGGACUGGGACACGGCGCAGACUCUUACAGGAGGCAGCAGUGGGGAAUAUUGGACAAUGGGCUAAAGCCAGAUCCAGCAAUGCCGCGUGAGUGAUGAAGGUCUGAGAGUUGUAAAGCUCUUUUACCCGGGAUGAUAAUGACAGUACCGGGAGAAUAAGCUCCGGCUAACUCCGUG